UUGGAGGGCAAGUCUGGUGCCAGCAGCCGCGGUAAUUCCAGCUCCAAUAGCGUAUAUUAAAGUUGUUGCAGUUAAAAAGCUCGUAGUUGAAUUUCGGGAUCAGAUUGUCGGUCGUGCCUCGGUACGCACUGGUAUUAUUGGUUCCUACCUUCUGAAGAACCGCGAUGUCAUUAAUUUGGUGUCGUGGGGAAUCAGGACUGUUACUUUGAAAAAAUUAGAGUGUUUAAAGCAGGCUUACGCUUGAAUACAUUAGCAUGGAAUAAUGAAAUAGGACGUUUGAUUCUAUUUUGUUGGUUUCUAGGAUUGACGUAAUGAUUAAUAGGGAUAGUUGGGGGCAUUAGUAUUCAAUUGUCAGAGGUGAAAUUCUUGGAUUUAUUGAAGACUAACUACUGCGAAAGCAUUUGCCAAGGAUGUUUUCAUUAAUCAAGAACGAAAGUUAGGGGAUCGAAGACGAUCAGAUACCGUCGUAGUCUUAACCAUAAACUAUGCCGACUAGGGAUCGGAUGAUGUUAAUUUUUUAAUGACUCAUUCGGCGCCUUACGGGAAACCAAAGUGUUUGGGUUC
RNAcentral lists this ribosomal RNA (564 nucleotides) under uncultured Glomeromycotina. RNAcentral's name for it is "SSU rRNA". It matches the Rfam family "Eukaryotic small subunit ribosomal RNA", at positions 548 to 1114 of the family's 1831-position model. The record is from RNAcentral. Lineage: Eukaryota; Fungi; Glomeromycota.